This 643-nucleotide unclassified non-coding RNA is filed under the name Hevea brasiliensis (rubber tree). The record is from RNAcentral. Lineage: Eukaryota; Viridiplantae; Streptophyta; Magnoliopsida; Malpighiales; Euphorbiaceae.
UUCCUUUUUUGGAAGAGGCUAUAAGCAAAUUAACAUUUCCAACCAUUUAACCUUUGUUAACAACAUUAAGUGCUGCAGCUAUCGGACUAAUUCACAAGCAUUAGAUUAACCAAGUUAGACAAACUGUUUGAUAAGUCAUCAGACACCAUGCAAAGACACUAUGGUGUCGGUAACUCAAUUAUGUUAUCAUAUAUCCCCAUAUUGAAGUUAUGUAAUAAUACAGAGAGAGAAGAACAGAACAAUUCAAAUGUCACUAGUUUCAAUGCUAAAAAUUAAUUUCCAACAUUUAAGAAUGUUAGCAACAAAAUUUCAGAAAGUAAUUAUACAAAAUGAACAAAAGGAAGCAUAUCCAUGGGAUAACGCCAGAAUACUUUAAAAGUUUCAAUGUGUGAAUGCUAACAUGAGCUUGCCUUAUCCUUAAUCCCAUGUUCUCAAAUUCCAUGUCAGGUAGAGAUGAUGGAAAAGGUAAUAAAGAAGAUUCACAAAAUAAUUUCUUUGAUAAUUUUGAUCAUAAGCUCCUGUACUUAACACCAACUAUGCUGACUUGUUAUAAUACUGCCAAUACUCCAGUAAACACAAAUACAGCCAUAAAAGCUGAUGCAUGGAUACAAUUAUACUCACAGUUUUUAUAGGAUCCUCUAUG